AGUGGUGACAGUGGCAGCUGAAAUGACAAGUCCAGCAUGAAUCCCAAAUACAAUUAUUUAUUUAAGUUACUUCUAACUGGUGACUCUGGGGUUGGAAAGUCUUGCCUCCUUCUUAGGUGUGCAGAUGAUACAUAUACAGAAAGCUACAUAAGCGCAAUUGGUGUGGAUUUCAAAAGAAGAACUAUAGAGUUAGACAGGAAAACAAUCAAGCUUCAAAUAUGGGACACAGCAGGCCAGAAAGAGUUCCAACAGUCACCUCCAGUUAUCACAGAGGAGCCAUGGCAUCAUAGUUGUGUAUGAUGUGACAGAUCAGGAGUCCUUCAAUAACGUUAAACAGUGGCUGCAGGAAAUAGAAAAUGAAAUGAAAACGUCAAUAAAAACAUCAACAUAUUGUUGGUAGGGAACAAAUGUGAUCUAACCACAAGGAAAGUAAUAGACUACACAACAGCAAAGGAAUUUUCUGAUUCUCAUGGAAUUCCAUUUUGGGAACCAGCGCUAAGGAUGCAAUGAAUGUAGAACAGUCUUUCAUGAUGAUGGCAGCUGAGACUAAAAUGUGAACGGGUCCUGCAGCAACAGCGGAUGGUGCUGAGAAUCCAAUGUGAAAAUUCAGAGCACUAGGGUUAAGCAGUCAGGUGAAGGUUGCUGCUAA
This is an RNA transcript of Cebus imitator (Panamanian white-faced capuchin), 649 nucleotides long. It is a transcript of the gene named ras-related protein Rab-1A-like, with no coding region annotated. The record is from RefSeq and is a predicted model, not a curated record. Lineage: Eukaryota; Metazoa; Chordata; Mammalia; Primates; Cebidae. The transcript has a single exon.